AUGCAAAGCCUUCUUCAGCAUUCCUCAGGAGUAGGUGCAGCACCUAAUCGACCGGCAAAAGAUAAAGCAUCGCACCGCGCCCUUGCCAAGCAUUUGAAGAAUGGUGUUGCUAAGCCUUCUGAGCCGCAGCAAAUUGCUAUAGAGCCGCAGCAGCCGCAGCAAAUUGCUGUAGAGCCGCAGCCUCUUCCAAACAGACAUGAGAAGUUUGUGUGGCCCUGGAUGGGAGUUUUAGUUAAUGUACCUACUGAAUGGAAGGACGGGCGUCAAGUUGGAGAAAGUGGAAAUCGUUUGAAGGGGGAAUUAUCGCAAUUUUGCCCACUGAAGGUUAUUCCUUUAUGGAAUUUUCGAGGUCAUACAGGGAAUGCUAUUGUUGAGUUUGCAAAAAACUGGAAUGGUUUCAGAAAUGCACUUGCGUUUGAAAAGUACUUUGAGGCAGGAGGUUGUGGCAGAAGGGACUGGAAGCAAAACCAGAAUCAAGGGUCAAAGCUUUGUGGAUGGGUCGCAAGGGCUGAAGAUUACAAUUUUCCAGGGCUAAUUGGGGACCACUUAAGGAAAAAUGCUGACUUGAAAACUAUCGAUGAUCUUGAGAAUGAAGGAACACGUAAAAAUAAUAAACUUGUAGCUAAUUUAGCUAACCAAAUUGAGGUCAAGAAUAAGUAUUUACAGGAGCUUGAACUUAGAUACAAUGAGACAACUCUGUCACUUGAGAAGAUGAUGGGGCAAAGGGAACAACGUCUCCAGGCGUAUAAUGAAGAAAUUCGGAAGAUGCAGCAGCUAGCUCGCAGACAUUCUGAAAAGAUCAUUGAUGAGAACCAAAAUCUGCGUUCGGAACUGGAGUCCAAGAUGAGUGAACUUAAUGCAAGAUCCAAAGAGCUUGAUGACCUUGCUGCAAAAAGUUCUCAUGACAAAAGUAAUCUUGAGCAGGAGAAGCAGAAGAAUGCUAUUAAAUCAAACCAUCUUAAGUUGGCAACAGCGGAACAACAGAGAGCUGAUGAGGAUGUGGUGAAGCUUGUGAGAGAUCAGAAGAGAGAGAAAGUUGCUGCUUUAAACAAGAUCCUGGAGUUAGAACAGCAGUUGGAAGCAAAACAGACGCUUGAAUUGGAAAUACAGCAGCUGAAGGGCAAAUUGGAAGUGAUGAAGCAUAUGCCAGGUCAUGAAGAUUCAGUCUCGAAGGAUAAAAUCAAUGAACUUAGUGAGGAGCUGCAAGAUAAGAUGGAUGAACUGGAUGCUAUGGAGUCACUUAACCAAACUCUGGUUAUUAAAGAAAGCAAAAGCAAUACUGAGAUGCAAGAAGCUCGGAAGGAGCUGGAAAAUGGCUUGCUUAAUCUUUCAGGUGGCCGAGCACAUAUAGGGAUCAAGAGAAUGGGCGAGCUUGAUCUGAAAGCAGUUUCAAAUGCUCUCGGACAGAAGUUGUCGAAAGAGGAUGCAGAAGUUACUGCUGCCAUUCUUUGUUCAAAAUGGGAAGCUGAAAUUAGGAAUCCAGAAUGGCACCCUUUUAGGGCUGUCAUGGUUGAUGGAAAGGAAAUGGAAAGAAUCAAUGCUGAUGACGCAAAGCUUCGAGAAUUAAAAGACGAGCAUGGCGAAGAAAUAUAUUCGUUGGUGACCAAGGCGCUGCGCGAGUACAAUGCUAACAGCACCAGGUAUCCCGUAGGAGAGCUGUGGAACUUCAGAGAAGAACGCAAGGCGUCUCUCAAGGAAGCUGUCCAGGUGGUGCUGAGGCAGUGGCGAGCCAACAGGAGGAAGCGUUGA
Molecule: ribosomal RNA, 1749 nt
Filed under: Triticum aestivum (bread wheat)
Lineage: Eukaryota; Viridiplantae; Streptophyta; Magnoliopsida; Poales; Poaceae
Description: partial small subunit ribosomal RNA
Source: RNAcentral